This 448-nucleotide ribosomal RNA is filed under the name uncultured bacterium. RNAcentral describes it as "partial 16S ribosomal RNA". It matches the Rfam family "Bacterial small subunit ribosomal RNA", at positions 330 to 793 of the family's 1533-position model. The record is from RNAcentral.
CCCAGACUCCUACGGGAGGCAGCAGUGGGGAAUAUUGCACAAUGGGGGGAACCCUGAUGCAGCGACGCCGCGUGGGCGAGGAAGUAUUUCGGUAUGUAAAGCCCUAUCGGCAGGGAAGAAGAAAUGACGGUACCUGAAUAAGAAGCACCGGCUAACUACGUGCCAGCAGCCGCGGUAAUACGUAGGGGGCAAGCGUUAUCCGGAUUUACUGGGUGUAAAGGGGGCGCAGACGGCAGCGCAAGCCAGGAGUGAAAGCCCGGGGCCCAACCCCGGGACUGCUCUUGGAACUGCGCGGCUGGAGUGCAGGAGGGGCAGGCGGAAUUCCUGGUGUAGCGGUGAAAUGCGUAGAUAUUAGGAGGAACACCAGUGGCGAAGGCGGCUUACUGGACGGCAACUGACGCUGAGGCUCGAAAGCGUGGGGAGCAAACAGGAUUAGAUACCCGUGUAU